GAUGAACGCUGGCGGCGUGCCUAAUACAUGCAAGUCGAGCGAACAGACGAGGAGCUUGCUCCUCUGACGUUAGCGGCGGACGGGUGAGUAACACGUGGAUAACCUACCUAUAAGACUGGGAUAACUUCGGGAAACCGGAGCUAAUACCGGAUAAUAUAUUGAACCGCAUGGUUCAAUAGUGAAAGACGGUUUUGCUGUCACUUAUAGAUGGAUCCGCUCCGGAUUAGCUGGUUGGUAAGGUAACGGCUUACCAAGGCAACGAUGCGUAGCCGACCGGAGAGGGGGGUCGCCGACAUGGGAGGUGGAACGGGGUCAAGGGGCCUACGAGAGGCAGCAGUAGGGAAUGUGACGCAGUGGGCGAAAAUUUGGCAGAACAACGCCGCGUGAGUGAUAAAGGUCUUGGGUGCGUAAAGCUGUCUUAUGAGGGGAGAACAAAUGUGUGAGGAAAUGUAGCCGGCUUGACGGUACCUGAAGAAGAAGCCACGGCUAACUACGUG
Molecule: ribosomal RNA, 497 nt
Filed under: uncultured bacterium
Lineage: Bacteria
Description: partial 16S ribosomal RNA
Rfam family: Bacterial small subunit ribosomal RNA
Source: RNAcentral